AUUUAUUUUUUUAUCAAAGAGACAAUUUAGCGGCAAUCGUUGCGCCGAUUUAGGAACAAUGUGCCCACACAAAUACUUAAAGCUGGGUAUGUCACGAUAAUCAGUCGUGCAACAGAGCUCUCUGGGGGUGGUAAGGGGCGAUAUAAAUGGGUAAUUCCAAUUAGGCGCAGAUGCAUCACCUUUGGAGUUUCCCUCACCGUUUGCACUCUAAAGUGAAGCUCGGCGUAAGUGCCUAUGUAUG
This is a long non-coding RNA of Drosophila montana, 241 nucleotides long. RefSeq lists it as uncharacterized. The transcript is spliced from 3 exons. The record is from RefSeq and is a predicted model, not a curated record. Lineage: Eukaryota; Metazoa; Arthropoda; Insecta; Diptera; Drosophilidae.